Molecule: non-coding RNA, 29 nt
Filed under: Mus musculus (house mouse)
Lineage: Eukaryota; Metazoa; Chordata; Mammalia; Rodentia; Muridae
Source: RNAcentral
UGGCUAAGGACUCUCGCCUGCGUGGGAAC